Molecule: ribosomal RNA, 468 nt
Filed under: uncultured bacterium
Lineage: Bacteria
Description: partial 16S ribosomal RNA
Rfam family: Bacterial small subunit ribosomal RNA
Source: RNAcentral
GACGAACGCUGGCGGCGUGCUUAGCACAUGCAAGUCGAACGGAAAGGCCCUGCUUUUGUGGGGUGCUCGAGUGGCGAACGGGUGAGUAACACGUGAGUAACCUGCCCUAGACUUUGGGAUAACUUCAGGAAACUGGGGCUAAUACCGGAUAGGAGCUCCUGCUGCAUGGUGGGGGUUGGAAAGUUUCGGCGGUUGGGGAUGGACUCGCGGCUUAUCAGCUUGUUGGUGGGGUAGUGGCUUACCAAGGCUUUGACGGGUAGCCGGCCUGAGAGGGUGACCGGCCACAUUGGGACUGAGAUACGGCCCAGACUCCUACGGGAGGCAGCAGUGGGGAAUAUUGCACAAUGGGCGGAAGCCUGAUGCAGCAACGCCGCGUGCGGGAUGACGGCCUUCGGGUUGUAAACCGCUUUCGCCUGUGACGAAGCGUGAGUGACGGUAAUGGGUAAAGAAGCACCGGCUAACUACGUG